GUGAAUCAUAGAAUGUUAAGCACUUCACCAUGACUUAAGAUUAGAUUCAAGGAGACCUAUUAAGAAUAGAAUUUCUUGUAGGCUUUAUGAACCAAGGGGAUUAGCGCUGCUUUCCCAAGACGAGUUUAUGUGAUUAUGAUCUUCAGGCUUUGCCUAUCCAGGUUGGCUGGCCGGUGCUGACGGGACGAAGCUGAGGCUAGAGUUAAAUUCCUAUGUUAGACUUCCGCUUUAGCAAUUACUCAUAUCAGUCUUUUGUUUUCCCAGCUUAAGAUCUUCAUGUUAAAUUUCAAAUGAUAUACCUGACCGAGCUUAGACUCUUCACUACUAAAUUUAUGCUAAUGAAUGUCGGUUGUCAGAAGCAUGAAACAAAACUUGUGAUCCAAAGGGGCAUAGCCCGACUUAAUAUUUUAUUACUCGGCUUUAACAAGGUUUUUCCCUUGUUUAUUUCUA
Molecule: long non-coding RNA, 450 nt
Organism: Salvia miltiorrhiza (redroot sage)
Lineage: Eukaryota; Viridiplantae; Streptophyta; Magnoliopsida; Lamiales; Lamiaceae
Exons: 2
Source: RefSeq, a predicted model, not a curated record